Molecule: ribosomal RNA, 301 nt
Filed under: uncultured bacterium
Lineage: Bacteria
Description: partial 16S ribosomal RNA
Rfam family: Bacterial small subunit ribosomal RNA
Source: RNAcentral
CAGCCGCCGCGGUAAUACGAAGGGUGCAAGCGUUACUCGGAAUUACUGGGCGUAAAGCGUGCGUAGGCGGCUUCUUAAGUCGGAUGUGAAAUCCCUGAGCUUAACUUAGGAAUUGCAUUCGAUACUGGGAAGCUAGAGUAUGGGAGAGGAUGGUAGAAUUCCAGGUGUAGCGGUGAAAUGCGUAGAGAUCUGGAGGAAUACCGAUGGCGAAGGCAGCCAUCUGGCCUAAUACUGACGCUGAGGUACGAAAGCAUGGGGAGCAAACAGGAUUAGAUACCCGUGUAGUCCCUGUCUCUUAUAC